UACAGAGGUCUCAAGCGUUGUUCGGAUUCAUUGGGCGUAAAGGGUGCGUAGGCGGCGCGGUAAGUCGGGUGUGAAAGCUCCGAGCUUAACUCGGAAAUUGCAUUGAAUACUAUCCUGCUCGAGGGUUGAAGGGGGGACUGGAAUUCUCGGUGUAGCAGUGAAAUGCGUAGAUAUCGAGAGGAACACCAGUGGCGAAGGCGAGUCCCUGGACAACUCCUGACACUGAGGCACGAAAGCUAGGGGAGCAAACAGG
This 253-nucleotide ribosomal RNA is filed under the name uncultured bacterium. RNAcentral's name for it is "partial 16S ribosomal RNA". It matches the Rfam family "Bacterial small subunit ribosomal RNA", at positions 524 to 776 of the family's 1533-position model. The record is from RNAcentral.